CGCAAGCCUGACGGAGCAACGCCGCGUGUGGGAAGAAGGCUCUUGGGCUGUCAACCACUUUUCUCAGGGAAGAAGCCCUGACGGUACCUGAGGAAUCAGCCUCGGCUAACUCCGUGCCAGCAGCCGCGGUAAUACGGAGGAGGCAAGCGUUAUCCGGAAUUAUUGGGCGUAAAGCGUCCGCAGGGGGCACAUCAAGUCUGCUGUUAAAGGCUGGAGCUUAACUCCGGUAGAGCAGUGGAAACUGGUGUGCUAGAGGGCGACAGGGGUAGAGGGAAUUCCCAGUGUAGCGGUGAAAUGCGUAGAGAUUGGGAAGAACACCGGUGGCGAAAGCGCUCUACUGGGUCGCACCUGACCCUCAGGGACGAAGGCUAAGGUAGCG
RNAcentral lists this ribosomal RNA (379 nucleotides) under uncultured cyanobacterium. RNAcentral describes it as "bacterial SSU rRNA". It matches the Rfam family "Bacterial small subunit ribosomal RNA", at positions 376 to 770 of the family's 1533-position model. Lineage: Bacteria; Bacillati; Cyanobacteriota. The record is from RNAcentral.